RNAcentral lists this ribosomal RNA (253 nucleotides) under uncultured bacterium. Its description in RNAcentral is "partial 16S ribosomal RNA". It matches the Rfam family "Bacterial small subunit ribosomal RNA", at positions 524 to 776 of the family's 1533-position model. The record is from RNAcentral.
UACGGAGGGUGCAAGCGUUGUUCGGAAUUACUGGGCGUAAAGCGCGUGCAGGCGGUUUGGUAAGUCGGGCGUGAAAGCCCCGGGCUUAACCCGGGAAGUGCGUUCGAAACUGCCAUUCUUGAGUAUGGGAGAGGAGAGUGGAAUUCCCAGUGUAGAGGUGAAAUUCGUAGAUAUUGGGAGGAACACCCGUGGCGAAGGCGACUCUCUGGACCAAUACUGACGCUGAGACGCGAAAGCGUGGGGAGCAAACGGG